GCCUUUUUUCCCCUUCUCUCCCCAAGCCUCUGGGCGCUGCUCCUCCUCCCUCCUUCCCACCGGCCCACGUGGCCACCAAACUCCUUUCCUGGUUAUUCAGACCUCUGGGCCAGCGCACUGCCUCAAGGAAGGCCUCCCAGACUGCACACUCCGGCCCCCGCAGUCCGCUGAGACCCCUCCGCCCCGGCGGCGUCUCCCAGCACCGGGUCCCCAGCGCCCAGCGCGGUCUGGCGCUGCAGCGGCGCCCGCGGGAGGCUGCGCGCCAGGGGAGGGCGCCUGGGCCGAGGGGCGAGGUGGCACCUCGAGGCCUCCGGCCCGAUCCCUGCCCAGCAGGGCGCCACCGGCCUGUCCCACACCCUCUCUGCCGCCUGCCCAGUGACCUAAUUAUUGUUUUUUCUUCCAGCCCCUGCGGAGGGGAAAAGAGAAAUUCCUGGAGGAUGACACAGGCCCGCCGCCGUGGGGACGCACGGGACCGGCUGGGCCGGCUGCGCCCCCGCCGCCGCCUAACUACAGAGCGCACCGACAUCGCCACGGCCGGCCCGGCCAGGCCUGUGGGCGCCCUGAUUCUGGGGCCGGGGGCCGGGGCUGGGGCGGGACUGCGGGUCCUUGGCACUGCGUUGGCCUGCGGGGGCAGCGCCUGGGGCUCACGGAGGAGGGCAGAGGGGGAGGGGUCCCUGCCCUCUGGGCAGGAACACGGGGCGCCCUGUGUUGAGGCCCUUGCCCUCAGCCCUCAGUCAUCGUGGGUUGUGCAUGUGGCUGCUCCCCAGAGCUAGGCCCCGGAAGGAGGCAGAGACUUGACACUGCGCUGGGCCUCGAUUCCCCAUCUGUGCAGUGGGCUGAUAGCGGGAGAGUGAGGUUUUACCAAGCUGGGGAAUCAAACCCAGGGCCUCCUGCAUGCUACGCAAGCGCUGUACCACCCUGCACACCCCCAGCCUGUAGCAGCUAACAGAUGCCGCCCGCCUCAGCACUGGGGAUUGGACCUCAGGAUUGUGCCUCCCACAGUGCUGGGAUUACAGACAUGGGGAACUUUUUGAGGAAAGUUGCUUCCUUCUGUCUCCUGCCAGCAAAUGUUGAUUGAGCACCUACUACCUGCUGGCACUGUGUUGGGCCUUGAGGUUAAAGCGGUGACUGAGAGAAAAUUCUGAUAAGACGAGGCUUCAGAGAG
Molecule: long non-coding RNA, 1165 nt
Filed under: Heterocephalus glaber (naked mole-rat)
Lineage: Eukaryota; Metazoa; Chordata; Mammalia; Rodentia; Bathyergidae
Description: lncRNA (ENSHGLG00000034720.1)
Source: RNAcentral